RNAcentral lists this ribosomal RNA (567 nucleotides) under Saccharomycopsis microspora. Its description in RNAcentral is "LSU rRNA". It matches the Rfam family "Eukaryotic large subunit ribosomal RNA", at positions 62 to 648 of the family's 3401-position model. Lineage: Eukaryota; Fungi; Ascomycota; Saccharomycetes; Ascoideales; Saccharomycopsidaceae. The record is from RNAcentral.
AAACCAACAGGGAUUGCCUUAGUAACGGCGAGUGAAGCGGCAAAAGCUCAAAUUUGAAAUCUAACGCCUUCGGCGUUCGAGUUGUAAUUUGAAGAUAUUUUCUCCGAGCAGUCCUUUAUCUAUGUUCCUUGGAACAGGACGUCAUAGAGGGUGAGAAUCCCGUAUGAUUUGGGCUCCUGCUCUUUUGUGAGAUUUUAUCGAAGAGUCGAGUUGUUUGGGAAUGCAGCUCUAAGUGGGUGGUAAAUUCCAUCUAAAGCUAAAUAUUGGCGAGAGACCGAUAGCGAACAAGUACAGUGAUGGAAAGAUGAAAAGAACUCUGAAGAGAGAGUGAAAAAGUACGUGAAAUUGCUGAAAGGGAAGGGCUUGAGGUCAGACUUGGUGUUUUACGAUUAUCUUCCCCUUGUGGGUUGUGCACUCGUUUCUCACUGGGCCAACAUCAGUUUUUCUUGCGGAGCACGCUUAGGAAUGUGGCUCUCUUCGGAGAGUGUUAUAGCCUUUGUACGAUUCGCUUGGGAGACUGAGGACUGCGCAUUAUGCUAGGAUGUUGGCGUAAUGACCUUAAGCCGC